GUCACUAGGGUGCAGCAGAUUGGCCUUCGUCUCUGUUCGGGUUUUCUCCUCUCCCAACACAAAGUUGCAGACCCAUUAUUCCUCGCAAACCAAUCUUUCUUGCUCUCACUUUGAAGCUUUUUCUUCUCUGCUUCAGUGUCUAGAAGUUUAUGGUUUUCUGAAUUUGACGGUGAGUUCCCAGGUUAACCAAUCACUAGAGGAUCACUAUAUAGUUGCAUUUACAUUAAUAAUUUAUAUAAUCAAUGGCCAUGAUGCUACCAAGUCUGAGGCAGAAGGCAAGUGGUUUGGUUGACUGAUACUGUGACACUCAAUAGAGCUGAAGGUUAUGUGGCGGACUUCUUGACUAUAUCACUGCACGUCGUAUCCAGGGAUCCAAAGGCCUACACGUUUACGUUGUAUAUACAUUCAGGCCCUCUUUAAAGAAGCUAAGGCAGAUGAAAUGCGUCUUGGCAUUUGCUCUAGAACAGUAGAAGCAAGGAUGUUGUUGAGCGCAUGACAAGUCCCAAUAAUAUGUCAAAUGCAAUGAUAUGGCCAAG
Molecule: long non-coding RNA, 536 nt
Organism: Rosa rugosa (rugosa rose)
Lineage: Eukaryota; Viridiplantae; Streptophyta; Magnoliopsida; Rosales; Rosaceae
Exons: 3
Source: RefSeq, a predicted model, not a curated record